CAAGGAUCCCUCGCAGAGGGUGACUGCCACUUUCAGAGCGUUCCUAAGCGAAAACAUGGACCCGGAGCUGGUGUCCCCAAAGCCCUCUGUGGCUCUGAGUCCCAGACCCAUAGAAGACAUGCCCAGAUUCAACGACAUCACCAGUGGGCUUCAAUGAUAUCACCAGCGAGCCGUCUGAAAACAAACGGACAAGACCCCAAGUCAGACAUUCUAGAAUACGGUCAGCCUAAAAGCCGUCGAGCAACGAUCUUAUUGGUCACAAGGAUGGACGAAGUAUUUGAGGCCCACGGAGUCACCGUAGCAGAGCAGGGAAUCUGGGAAGCAGGGGCCCCGAGAAAGCCCCUUCGAUGGUGGCGACAGCAGGACGAAGCUGGUGUGAUUUCAGCUUCGGACGCGGACGGGCCGGUGUGACAGCCGCGUCCCCGCCGUCGGGGGGUCCCGAUGUCGGACGACGCCCGUAUCGGCUGGCGCGGCUGAGCAAUGAAGGUUCACCCGCACGAAUGCACUGGGUGCCAGGGAGGUCCCAGGAGGCGCUUUGUCACACGCAGCUCGCCACGGCCCCUGGCCCUCCCAGAGGGUGCCCCGGAGAAGCUUUCAAAGCAGACAGCCCCUCUGUUAGCAGCUCUCUUCCAGCCGCGGUGGGCGAGGGAAUGAGAGAGGGAACGUCCGAUGAUUACUUCCUUAUGGCCCUCACAUUCUUCAAGUAUAUUCCCUACACCCGCUGGAACGCUGCUGCAUUCUUGAGUCCUUCCUUCCCUUUCAGAGCACUGUCUUGUAUUGACACGCCGCUAAAAGGACACAGGAGCAGGACCGGCCUCCCCUCCCUCCGCGCGCGCCCCUCCUUCGCCAUGGCCGUGCUCUCUCCACGCCCGCCGUGCCUUGUUCUCUUUCUAAGAAUGCAAUAAACAUUUCAGCACGA
Molecule: long non-coding RNA, 919 nt
Organism: Leopardus geoffroyi (Geoffroy's cat)
Lineage: Eukaryota; Metazoa; Chordata; Mammalia; Carnivora; Felidae
Exons: 2
Source: RefSeq, a predicted model, not a curated record